This is a non-coding RNA of Camellia sinensis, 1391 nucleotides long. The record is from RefSeq and is a predicted model, not a curated record. Lineage: Eukaryota; Viridiplantae; Streptophyta; Magnoliopsida; Ericales; Theaceae.
CAAUAAUUUUAAAAAUUGCAUGAAUUAUAAAAAUUGAAUCGAAUCGUGAAUUGAUUGUGAAUCGUGCGAUUCACUAGAAAUUCACUUUAAAAAUAAAUUCACUCAAAGAUUUGUACAAAAAUUACGAAUCGUGAAUUGAAUCACGAAUAGUAAAUUCUGAUAAGAGAGUUAAUCGAUUUGAUUUGACCUGGUAUUGGUUUGUUAGGUUUGGACCUAGUUUGGUAUUAUUGAGUUAUUUUGGGUUAUACGGUUUUAAUGGCCAUGAGAAGAGCUGCUGCAAACAGUGGUAGUGAUGAAAAAGCUGGCUCAUUGUAUUCUCUCCAUUAAUAGUGAAAUUCUCCUGUUAUUCUUGUGUGGUUGUUCUGUUAUUAUUUCUGAAUUUCUGUUCCAUCAUAACCAUAUUAAUCUGCCAGGCAAAAAUUUUAAAAUUUUAAUAGUGAAAUUAAUCUAUCCUGGUAAUAGGGUUUGUAUAAAACUGUCAAUUCUUUUAGUAUCCUAUAAAAAUUGGAUUUGAAAUCUUUUUUACUAUUACUUUUUCCCACAACCAAAAAAAACAAAAAAAAAAAAAGAAACAAAGAAAAAGAAAAGAGAGUGAGUUGAUGUUCUCAAUUUUAGAGAAACCAAGCCAGGGUCCUAGGAACUCCUAUAUAUGUACUAGAUUAGACUCACCCCUUUGUUUCUUGUCCUUCAGUUCCUUGGUGAUUGGCCAAGAGAAUGAAAAAAUACUGUAGUUUGAAGCAUUGAUGAUGCUCAAGUUCACCAAAAUGACUUUCUUCAAUAAAAAAGCCAACCACUCCCCAUCCUGUUCCUUCUUUUAAUGCACCAAAAAGCUCACCAUUUCAAAACCCAAAAAAAGUUGUUAUGCUAUUGCUUUCUUAAGACAAGUGACUAACCAAAUAAAUUCCCACCCCCUUAUGCCCCUCCACAUAUAUAUGUAUGUACAUAUCAGUACAGUUGGACUUUCUAGAUUUGUGUUUAGGAAUAUCUGAGAAAUCCAUUUUGGUUUGGUCAUUGAAUGUGUGAGUGCAUUUUGGUCCAGCAUUCCAAAUACCAGGUAGAUAAAAACUUGCUCUAUUUAAUGCUGUCUCUGGAUAUUCUUUGGAAGUGGGGUCUGAACCCACUUGUUAGUGUUCAUGUGCAUAUGGGUAAAUAGAAGAACAUGCAUGGUUUCAUCAUCUUUGCAGCUAUUGAACUUCAUGGAAGCUGCAACAAAAGGUCACAAGCACUCUAAGAGCGAUUCUGCCAUGAAGAAAACUUGGGAAGAUAGAUUGAGUAACAUUCUAGAAGCGUCUCAUCGUCCUAAGUUGAAUAUGGGAGAACUGAAGAGUUGUGUUAAAGCAAAGGCGAGACAGUCUCUGACCACUGAGAUUCAAAAUUCUAUGAAUCCAGAG